UGAGGAAUAUUGGUCAAUGGGCGGAAGCCUGAACCAGCCAAGUCGCGUGAGGGAAGAAGGCCCUGCGGGUCGCAGACCUCUUUGGACGGGGAGCAAGUCCGCGGACGUGUCCGCGGAAGGAGAGUACCCGUAGAACAAGCAUCGGCUAACUCCGUGCCAGCAGCCGCGGUAAUACGGAGGAUGCGAGCGUUAUCCGGAUUUAUUGGGUUUAAAGGGUGCGCAGGCGGCCCGACAAGCCGGCGGUCAAAUCGCGGGGCUCAACCCCGUCCAGCCGUCGGAACUGCCGGGCUAGAGUGGGCGAGAAGUGCGCGGAAUGCGUGGUGUAGCGGUGAAAUGCAUAGAUAUCACGCAGAACUCCGAUUGCGAAGGCAGCGCACCGGCGCCCUACUGACGCUCAGGC
Molecule: ribosomal RNA, 400 nt
Filed under: uncultured bacterium
Lineage: Bacteria
Description: bacterial SSU rRNA
Rfam family: Bacterial small subunit ribosomal RNA
Source: RNAcentral